This 2034-nucleotide long non-coding RNA is filed under the name Nicotiana benthamiana. RNAcentral's name for it is "long non-coding RNA (NBEN_LNC016488)". The record is from RNAcentral. Lineage: Eukaryota; Viridiplantae; Streptophyta; Magnoliopsida; Solanales; Solanaceae.
AUAGGCCCAAGUUUGAAACAUCACAUAACUUCACAUAAUAUGUAUUACACGAGGACUUUUCAUCAUUAAAAAAAAUACUAAGUACCACGAUAUUAAAUUUGCAGUAUUGAAUCAAAGAUCCCAUUUCAAAGAUAACAAACAUCAUUAAUAACUAAAGUCUACAGGAGCACAAACAAAAACUUAUUGAUUCAACUAGCUGAUAUUUACAAAAUCACGGUUUGGCCCGUAAUUAAAUACAAUAUUCUAAAAUUUUAAAGAAAUGCUUAUUAAUUACAAUCAGAUGGGACAAUUAAAUUUUCCAACCCUGAAGUGUGGAAUCCAAUGUUUCUCAACCAUAUCUGCUUAAAAUAAAACUAUGGACUUAAGCUAUUACACCAAGAUUUCUACAAAUUCUGAGUUUACAAUAAUCAAACAUCCUUUAUACAUACUGGAACUAGGUACUACAAAAUUAAACAACAAAUAUGCUUAUAGACUACAUGAUUCUGAACACAUAAAUUUCACUUUUACCAAGUAAUACUUAAUAAAAAUAAUAGUCCUAUCAAUGCAGUAAAAUAUGCUUAUGCUUCAGGAAACCAAAUUGAAACAACAAUCUUAUUCUAGCUAGCAUUUUUAUCUUGAAAAAAAGACUAUGUCAAAGAGAUAACUUCAAAUAUGGAUCCAUCAACUUACAAACAAACAUGAAAUCAUGUAAGAGCAAUCAAACAGUCAUAACUUCAUAUUAAAAUAGAAAACUUUGAUUAUUCUAAAGAUCAGAGUUGUACAGAAUCAUAGAGGUGUACAGAAAAAUAACAGAAAACCAAAAAUAAGUCUCUAAAUUAGCAGGAAUAUCAGCAAGGUAACAGCAGGGAAUCUCUAGGAAUUUUUGUUAGAUGAAAAUAAGGAGACAAGCAUCUAUUUUUAAAAGAAAUGGACAGCUGUCCCUAUUUCUAGAAGAUUCUUUUAUUCCCAGACACUUUUAAACUUUUUAACAUCCAAUUCGUACCCCAAAAAUUCAACUUAUUUCCCAUUUUAGUGUAUUUCCAACCAAACAAAACAAAUUCCUCCAUUUUUCUAUUUCUUUUAGACCCCUGAAUUUCAAUAACUACAAACGACUACCACAUAAACUGGAGAUGCUAAUGAAAAAGAUGAAGUAAUUCAAAUAAUAAAAAUCCUAAUUCCAAUAUAUUAAUUCAACUAAUACUAAUCAUGCAAAACAUAUAAUUAAAUAGGUAAUAUGCCAAAUAUCUAACAAAAUUAAGAGACAAGAGGGCGCAAAACAAGAAAAUAAUGAAAUUAACAAAGAAAUAGAUAAAAAGAAACAUUGAAAUUUUUUUACCAAUCAAGUGCUAGCCAAGAAGGACCGGUGAUUGACCAAGCUCCGGCAGAAGGAAUCCGAUCGGCGUUAAUAUUGUCAUAUGAAUACUAAUUUAAUACUUGAAAGAACAUUUAGUGAUAUAUGACAACGCUGAGCGCUGGCCAGCCGAGCGAGUGAAAUGUGACGGAAAACAUUUGUUCUCGAAGACCUCAUGAACUAAAAAAUAUGAAAAGAUAGUUCGUAGAUGUUCAAGGCAGCAGGCUUUGGUAUUGAAGCUAAACAAACGAAGAUUUGAAGAAAAACCAGUGAAUUCGCUGAGCGCUGGCCAGCCGAGCGAGUGAAAUGUGACGGAAAACAUUUGUUCUCGAAGACCUCAUGAACUAAAAAAUAUGAAAAGGUAGUUCGUAGAUGUUCAAGGCAGCAGGCUUUGGUAUUGAAGCUAAACAAACGAAGAUUUGAAGAAUAACCAGAAAAAGAAGAGACUAAAGGUUUUCUUGAUUUCCUCAUAUCUGAGAUUCAAGGCGUUUGGAUGGUCUUAUGGGGGAAGCCGAUGAUGGAUUAAGGUUUAGGAAAAUAUGGGGACUGUGGUAUAAUUCUGGUAGGCGGCAGACGGCGGUGAGAGACAGUGGUGAGAGAGAGACGAGUUCUGUGAGGUCUUUUUAGGGUUAGGGGGGUCUGUCUUCAGACAUUUAUAAGGUAAUAGGGGUUCUGGCGGUUCCACCCAUUAGAACCGUGGAACC